GAUCAUGCUCAGGAUGAACGCUAGCUACAGGCUUAACACAUGCAAGUCGAGGGGCAGCAUGGUCUUAGCUUGCUAAGGCCGAUGGCGACCGGCGCACGGGUGAGUAACACGUAUCCAACCUGCCGUCUACUCUUGGACAGCCUUCUGAAAGGAAGAUUAAUACAAGAUGGCAUCAUGAGUUCACAUGUUCACAUGAUUAAAGGUAUUCCGGUAGACAAUGGGGA
RNAcentral lists this ribosomal RNA (224 nucleotides) under uncultured bacterium. Its description in RNAcentral is "partial 16S ribosomal RNA". It matches the Rfam family "Bacterial small subunit ribosomal RNA", at positions 15 to 231 of the family's 1533-position model. The record is from RNAcentral.